GCUGGCGGCGUGCCUAAUACAUGCAAGUCGAGCGCGGGAAGCAAGCUGAUCCUCUUCGGAGGUGACGCUUGUGGAACGAGCGGCGGACGGGUGAGUAACACGUGGGCAACCUGCCUGUAAGACUGGGAUAACCCCGGGAAACCGGGGCUAAUACCGGAUAAUACUUUUCAUCACCUGAUGAGAAGUUGAAAGGUGGCUUUUAGCUACCACUUACAGAUGGGCCCGCGGCGCAUUAGCUAGUUGGUGAGGUAACGGCUCACCAAGGCAACGAUGCGUAGCCGACCUGAGAGGGUGAUCGGCCACACUGGGACUGAGACACGGCCCAGACUCCUACGGGAGGCAGCAGUAGGGAAUCUUCCGCAAUGGACGAAAGUCUGACGGAGCAACGCCGCGUGAGUGAUGAAGGUUUUCGGAUCGUAAAGCUCUGUUGUUAGGGAAGAACAAGUGCCGUUCGAAUAGGGCGGCACCUUGACGGUACCUAACCAGAAAGCCCCGGCUAACUACGUGCCAGCAGCCGCGGUAAUACGUAGGGGGCAAGCGUUGUCCGGAAUUAUUGGGCGUAAAGCGCGCGCAGGCGGUCCUUUAAGUCUGAUGUGAAAGCCCACGGCUCAGCCGUGGAGGGUCAUUGGAAACUGGAGGACUUGAGUACAGAAGAGGAGAGUG
Molecule: ribosomal RNA, 663 nt
Filed under: Virgibacillus halodenitrificans
Lineage: Bacteria; Bacillati; Bacillota; Bacilli; Caryophanales; Bacillaceae
Description: bacterial SSU rRNA
Rfam family: Bacterial small subunit ribosomal RNA
Source: RNAcentral